UACGGAGGAUCCGAGCGUUAUCCGGAUUUAUUGGGUUUAAAGGGUGCGCAGGCGGGAGAUUAAGUCGGCGGUGAAAUUUUGCAGCUCAACUGUAAAAGUGCCUUCGAAACUGGUUUCCUUGAGUGUAGAUGAAGUAGGUUGAAUUUGUGGUGUAGCGGUGAAAUGCAUAGAUAUCACGAGGAACUCCGAUUGCGCAGGCAGCUUACUAAACUACUACUGACGCUCAGGCACGAAGGCGUGGGGAUCAAACAGGAUUAGAUACCCUGGUA
Molecule: ribosomal RNA, 269 nt
Filed under: uncultured prokaryote
Description: partial 16S ribosomal RNA
Rfam family: Bacterial small subunit ribosomal RNA
Source: RNAcentral